Molecule: long non-coding RNA, 2535 nt
Organism: Oncorhynchus tshawytscha (Chinook salmon)
Lineage: Eukaryota; Metazoa; Chordata; Actinopteri; Salmoniformes; Salmonidae
Source: Ensembl
UAAACCUAGAGGUUUCUACAGGGGUGGGAGGUGAGGAGGUAAACCUAGAGGUUUCUGCAGGGGUGGAAGGUGAGGAGGUAAACCUAGAGGUUUCUACAGGGGUGGGAGGUAAACCUAGAGGUUUCUACAGGGGUGGGAGGUAAACCUAGAGGUUUCUACAGGGGUGGGAGGUAAACCUAGAGGUUUCUACAGGGGUGGAAGGUGAGGAGGUAAACCUAGAGGUUUCUGCAGGGGUGGAAGGUGAGGAGGUAAACCUAGAGGUUUCUACAGGGGUGGGAGGGGAUAAUAAACCUAGAGGUUUCUGCAGGGGUGGAAGGGGAGGUAAAGAAUAGUGUACACUACUGAUUCAUGUUUUAGUUUGAUUCUUAUUACUGUAAAGAAUAGUGUACACUACUGAUUCAUGUUUUAGUUUGAUUCUUAUUACUGUAAAGAAUAGUGUACACUACUGAUUCAUGUUUUAGUUUGAUUCUUAUUACUGUAAAGAUGAAAUGGGAUUUUUCUCACUCUUGCAUUUCUUCUGUAGAGCUUAAAAACAUUUCCUUUCUGUUUUUGCUAUUUUUUCUAUGACGAUCAGAUUGAGUGAUUGAUUAACCUCCCAACCCAAAGAUCCCGCCAAUUCACAUCGUGUCAGUGAUUUGAUUGGCUCCUCUCUCAAAGCUGCACGUUGUUGACGUCCCCUUCAGCCAGUCAGCAGGAAGGGGGGUUACCCCCUGUAACAGACAUCUCCUCCUCCUCUAGAUGACUCUGUAGUGAAGGAAGGGGGGGUUCCCCCUGUAACAGACAUCUCCUCCUCCUCUAGAUGACUCUGUAGUGAAGGAAGGGGGGGUUCCCCCCUGUAACAGACAUCUCCUCCUCUAGAUGACUCUGUAGUGAAGGAAAGGGGGUUCCCCCCUGUAACAGACAUCUCCUCCUCUAGAUGACUCUGUAGUGAAGGAAGGGGGGUUCCCCCCUGUAACAGACAUCUCCUCCUCCUCUAGAUGACUCUGUAGUGAUGGAAGGGGGGUUCCCCCCUGUAACAGACAUCUCCUCCUCCUCUAGAUGACUCUGUAGUGAAGGAAGGGGGGGUUACCCCCUGUAACAGACAUCUCCUCCUCUAGAUGACUCUGUAGUGAAGGAAGGGGGGGUGGUUGUUGUUUCGGCCACACAGCCAACAGAUAGUUCAAUAUUCAAUACUGUUCAAUCGUUGACCCCUGGCAUUUCUAUGAAUUCUAAAAGAACCUUAUCCGAUAGAUUUUAAUCGUCUUAUGAUCACUAUCAAGGGUUUAUUAAAUGAAGUUGAUGCUGCUGCUAUUUAUGACUUUCUUUUGCCUUAUCAUUUCACAGAGAGAGAGAGGGCCUUUCAGAGACUGUCAGAGAGUCUACACCAUAGAGAGAUACAUUCAAAGAUGUUCCAUUGAAUUCUAUGGGAAACACACAGUAAAGUAAUGACAUGCAUUCCCAACAUGUCAAUAGUGUUUCAGGGGAUUAGUUAAAGCAAGGCGAGGCACAGAAUCAAUCAUCUUGAUCAAAUAAUAGUUGAAUAUAACUUGAAUACGUAGUUAUUUGAUAUGUAAGGAGAUGUAUAAAUCAGUAAUGCUGUGAAGUCUGACUGCAAAUGUAGCUGAUCUCAAAGACCGUGAAGUCUGCACAUAGUAAACAAAUUCCAAAGACCGUAAACACAGUCUGCACAUAGUAAACUAAUUCCCUAAGACCGUAAACACAGUCUGCACAUAGUAAACAAAUUCCCUAAGAUCGUAAACACAGUCUGCACAUAGUAAACGAAUUCCCAUAUUCUACUACUCUUCAGCGCUCGGUUCUCCUAGCUUAGCACCAAUGGUUCCAUGUUCUGUUAGAACCCUCUGAACUGAUAGCUUAGCACUAAUGGUUCCAUGUUCUGUUAGAACCCUCUGAAUUGUCACAGAACCAUAAAACGUAGAUAUGGAAUGAUCUUAGGUCGUCUGUGACUUGAUGUUCCAUGGCCGGCUUGCUGUCCUAUCUGGGCAACGGGUGGGGCAGUCAUGACACGGUUGGGACUUGAUUGACCUUUCUGUUCUAUGAUCUUUUAAAAGCACGUAGGCAUUACUACCAUCGCUUCUCAAAUGGCACCCUGGCCAUAGUGCACAUUUGGGAUGCGGUCUACAUUUCUUUCAAAUGAAGGUUUGAAGGGGGUAACUACAUGAAGAACAUAUUAAUACAUAUAUUAUAUAUUAUGUAUAUAUUUUACUAAGACUGACCACAAAUAAACGGUCCUUCACUGAGACGGAGAGGGCUGAAAACAGAAUGGGUUCUAUAAUAGAACUCUAAUGGUUCUGAACCAUAGGGUGGGUUCUAUAAUAGAACUCUAAUGGUUCUGAAUCAUAGGGUGGGUUCUAUAAUAGAACGCUAAUGGUUCUGAACCAUAGGGUGGGUUCUGUAAGAGAACUCUAGUGGUUCUAGGGUUCUUCUGACUCUGUGCUCCUGUCUGGCUUCAUAGUAACUGCUUGUCAAAGCUUCUGUCAAGUCGUUUCCCAAAUGUUCCAUCUGUAUAGCAUGUCAAUAAAACACAUUUUGUCUGGA